RNAcentral lists this unclassified non-coding RNA (646 nucleotides) under uncultured Prochlorococcus sp. RNAcentral's name for it is "partial 16S-23S ribosomal RNA intergenic spacer; may also contain 16S ribosomal RNA and 23S ribosomal RNA". The stretch from base 305 to 377 matches the Rfam family "tRNA". Lineage: Bacteria; Bacillati; Cyanobacteriota; Cyanophyceae; Synechococcales; Prochlorococcaceae. The record is from RNAcentral.
UUGUGGAGGAGGACGCCGAAGGUGGGGCUAAUGACUGGGGUGAAGUCGUAACAAGGUAGCCGUACCGGAAGGUGCGGCUGGAUCACCUCCUAACAGGGAGACAACAAAAUGUUUAAUAUUAUUAUUUUGUCACCUUAGGUCGAUCGGUAUCUCACGUUCUUAAUUUGUUAAGAAUUUCAUUUCCUAAGUUUUUCUAGGUCACACCCAUUAUUUUUCCUGGGCCAUUAGCUCAGGUGGUUAGAGCGCACCCCUGAUAAGGGUGAGGUCCCUGGUUCAAGUCCAGGAUGGCCCAUAUCUCUAUGUUGGGGGUAUAGCUCAGUUGGUAGAGCGCCUGCUUUGCAAGCAGGAUGUCAGCGGUUCGAGUCCGCUUACCUCCACUGAUUACCACCUCUUCCAUAACCGGUAGAAAGGAAAUGUUUUGAGUUGUGAUCAUUAUUCUGAACGAAUCUAGCUUCCUAAUGAAAACAUUAAGAUGCUGGACUCAUUGAAUUAAUUUCAUUGUUUUCAGAGAACCUUGACAACUGCAUAGAUUUUUUUAAAGACAAUAAGCAUCUUUAAUGAUGCAGAUUUAUUAUUUGUGCGAAUGCAUUAAUAACAAUUCUAUUAAGCUGAUGCUUCAAUUUUGAAGUUAUUGGUCAAGCUACAA